UACGUAGGGGGCAAGCGUUAUCCGGAAUUAUUGGGCGUAAAGAGUACGUAGGUGGCAACCUAAGCGCAGGGUUUAAGGCAAUGGCUUAACCAUUGUUCGCCCUGCGAACUGGGAUGCUUGAGUGCAGGAGAGGAAAGCGGAAUUCCUAGUGUAGCGGUGAAAUGCGUAGAUAUUAGGAGGAACACCAGUGGCGAAGGCGGCUUUCUGGACUGUAACUGACACUGAGGUACGAAAGCGUGGGGAGCAAACAGG
Molecule: ribosomal RNA, 252 nt
Filed under: uncultured bacterium
Lineage: Bacteria
Description: partial 16S ribosomal RNA
Rfam family: Bacterial small subunit ribosomal RNA
Source: RNAcentral